RNAcentral lists this ribosomal RNA (506 nucleotides) under Uropolystomoides malayi. RNAcentral describes it as "partial 12S ribosomal RNA". The record is from RNAcentral. Lineage: Eukaryota; Metazoa; Platyhelminthes; Monogenea; Polystomatidea; Polystomatidae.
GACUGACUUUAUUUAUGUUGAUCUUUUUUUAUGGGUUUAGAUUUAUUAUAGGGUGUUUUAGUGAAGAGUAAAAUUUGCGGUUUUAUGUUAUUUUUAUUUGAUACAGACUAUGGUUUAUAGUUAUAGCUUAGUUAUAUACGGGAAUUAGAUACUCCUUUAUAAAAGUUGUAAAUUUUUAUUUUCUCAGUUUUAACUGAAAAGAAUUGGCAGCUAGUAAUAUUCUUCGGGGGGAUUGUGUUGUUUAAAUAGAUGGUCCACUAAAUAGUUUUCUUUUUUUAGUGUUGGUGUAUAUCCGGUUUAUUAUAGAAAGCUAAAGUUUUUUAUGUUAAUGUGUUUUUAAUCCAGGUCGAUAUGCUGCUUAUAAAAGAGGAUAUUAUGCAAUACAUUGUAAAAGUUUUUUUGUAAAAAGAUUAGAUUAAGGACUCCGUAGUAAUAAAAAAUAAGAAUGUUUUUGUGAAUUAGAUUUUAUUAGGGUACACAUCGCCCGUCAAUUUCAAUAUAUAGUU